GCCAGGUGUGGUGGUGAGCACCUGUAGUCCCAGCUACUGGGGAGGCUGAGGCAGGAGGAUCGCUUGAGCCCAGGAAGUUGAGGCUGCAGUGAGCUAUGAUUGUGUCACUGCACUCCAGCCUGGGCAACAGAGCAAGACCCUGUCUCUA
Molecule: signal recognition particle RNA, 148 nt
Filed under: Gorilla gorilla gorilla (western lowland gorilla)
Lineage: Eukaryota; Metazoa; Chordata; Mammalia; Primates; Hominidae
Description: Metazoan signal recognition particle RNA
Rfam family: Metazoan signal recognition particle RNA
About the family: The signal recognition particle (SRP) is a universally conserved ribonucleoprotein. It is involved in the co-translational targeting of proteins to membranes.
Source: Rfam by way of RNAcentral